UUUGUACUCCCUCCGUCCCAAAAUUCUUGUCUUAAAUUUGUCUAAAUACAAAUGUAUCUAGUUACAUUUUAGUGUUCGAUACAUUCGUAUCUAAACAAAUGUAAGACAAAAAUUUUGGGACGGAGGGAAUACUAC
Molecule: non-coding RNA, 135 nt
Organism: Triticum urartu
Lineage: Eukaryota; Viridiplantae; Streptophyta; Magnoliopsida; Poales; Poaceae
Source: Rfam